This 433-nucleotide ribosomal RNA is filed under the name uncultured bacterium. RNAcentral describes it as "partial 16S ribosomal RNA". It matches the Rfam family "Bacterial small subunit ribosomal RNA", at positions 29 to 507 of the family's 1533-position model. The record is from RNAcentral.
AACGAACGCUGGCGGCAUGCCUAACACAUGCAAGUCGAACGAGACCUUCGGGUCUAGUGGCGCACGGGUGCGUAACGCGUGGGAACCUGCCCUUAGGCUCGGAAUAACUCCCCGAAAGGGGUGCUAAUACCGGAUAAUGUCUUCGGACCAAAGAUUUAUCGCCUUUGGAUGGGCCCGCGUUGGAUUAGCUAGUUGGUAGGGUAAAAGCCUACCAAGGCGACGAUCCAUAGCUGGUCUGAGAGGAUGAUCAGCCACACUGGGACUGAGACACGGCCCAGACUCCUACGGGAAGCAGCAGUGGGGAAUAUUGGACAAUGGGCGAAAGCCUGAUCCAGCAAUGCCGCGUGAGUGAUGAAGGCCUUAGGGUUGUAAAGCUCUUUUACCCGGGAUGAUAAUGACAGUACCGGGAGAAUAAGCUCCGGCUAACUCCGUG